UGUGAGAGACAAAAUGGCGGACACGAACACAUUCUGUUCUAUUUACACAAUAUCACCACAGCACUGAAAUCAUAUUUACGCGCUAAUUAUUUCAUUUUGCUCCCGUUUUAUUGAAGUUUAUUGAAGUUUAAGAUUAGAAAGCUAAUAUAAAGUUUGUUGUUAACAGCGUCCUUGCAGCAAUAAACCGUCUCGCGCUUCAGCAGCACUGAGCUACACAGGACGCUGUGGAGCUGCUACGUGAUUGGCUGAUGCUGCAACAGAGCAGUAACGUGAUUGGUUCCCGCGCCAAAUGAUUGACACUGGGCCCGCCUCCGAUAUGGCCGAGUUAAAAAAGGAACGGAUUUAGAACGUAAAGCUGUAAGAGAUGGGGGGGACUGUGACGUCACAAGAGGAGGCUAUGACGUCACAGGAGGAGAAGGGACAAAAACCCUGAUUUCAGGUGUUUAGUUCAGUUACUGUAUUUUACAGAUCACACGCCAGAGAAAGCAAUCCGAGAGAAACUACUGGAUUCAUACCCACGUGAUUCAAAGAUGAGUGAGAAGAAGAGAAGUAGCCAGAGAGGAACAGCUGGAACAGCUGGAACAGCUGGAGCGUGCACUCAGGACUCCACAUCUGACCAGAGACUGAAGUGUUUCAGGGACAUUAUGGACGUCGUUCUUCAUCUGAGCGAUGAGGAAUGGAAGGCUGUGACCAGGGACAUGAAGAAGAAGGU
Long non-coding RNA from Pangasianodon hypophthalmus (striped catfish), 712 nucleotides. RefSeq lists it as uncharacterized. The transcript has 4 exons. Lineage: Eukaryota; Metazoa; Chordata; Actinopteri; Siluriformes; Pangasiidae. The record is from RefSeq and is a predicted model, not a curated record.